GAUGAACGCUGGCGGCGUGCUUAACACAUGCAAGUCGAACGGGAAAUAUUUCAUUGUGACUUCGGUGGAUUUGAUUUAUUUCUAGUGGCGGACGGGUGAGUAACGCGUGGGUAACCUGCCUUAUACAGGGGGAUAACAGUCAGAAAUGGCUGCUAAUACCGCAUAAGCGCACAGAGCUGCAUGGCUCAGUGUGAAAAACUCCGGUGGUAUAAGAUGGACCCGCGUUGGAUUAGCUAGUUGGUGGGGUAACGGCCCACCAAGGCGACGAUCCAUAGCCGGCCUGAGAGGGUGAACGGCCACAUUGGGACUGAGACACGGCCCAGACUCCUACGGGAGGCAGGAGUGGGGAAUAGUGCACAAUGGGGGAAACCCUGAUGGAGCGACGCCGCGUGAAGGAAGAAGUAUCUCGGUAUGUAAACUUCUAUCAGCAGGGAAGAUAGUGACGGUACCUGACUAAGAAGCCCCGGCUAACUACGUG
This 478-nucleotide ribosomal RNA is filed under the name uncultured bacterium. RNAcentral's name for it is "partial 16S ribosomal RNA". It matches the Rfam family "Bacterial small subunit ribosomal RNA", at positions 28 to 507 of the family's 1533-position model. The record is from RNAcentral.